Molecule: long non-coding RNA, 502 nt
Organism: Pipistrellus kuhlii (Kuhl's pipistrelle)
Lineage: Eukaryota; Metazoa; Chordata; Mammalia; Chiroptera; Vespertilionidae
Exons: 3
Source: RefSeq, a predicted model, not a curated record
AACCCCGCGCGCUCCGGGCAGUCGCUACCAAUCGACAGGGGAGCAUCGAUGCGAAGGGGCGGGGCUGCGCGCCGGCCGGCGCCGCGGCGGUGGGGCGGUGAGCCAGCUCGGCGUCGGCGUUUCCCGCCUGGCCGCCGGGGAAGCCUACGGGCGGCGAGGCGAGGCGGGCUUUCGGCGCGCGUUCAUCCCGGGCCCGCCUCCCCACAGAAGGAAGCUUCUCCCCGGGCCGGUCUCCCGAGUGGCCCGAAGGUUUGGAACCUGCGGAGGCCCACGGAGCUCUGAACCGAGGCUUGAGCUUCGGACAAGUAUUUCCAAUAUCCCAUCCUGAUAUUAUGGGAGCACACCAAUCUCUAUAUGGUCAUUAAACUCACUCAGUCAUCUCAUGUUGCAUGAAGCAAUCAGACUACCUGUGGAAAUGAAGAACGAAGUGGAAGCCAGCAACUGAGGGCAGUGACACCAGCCAGUUUCUGCUGUGUGGUCAGAGCAGUGUAUAAAGAUAAAG